UGAGGGAUUUUCGGCAAUGGGCGAAAGCCUGACCGAGCGACGCCGCGUGAGCGAAGAAGGCCUUCGGGUCGUAAAGCUCUGUCUAGGGGGACGAGAGAGGACGGUACCCCUGGAGGAAGCCACGGCUAACUACGUGCCAGCAGCCGCGGUAAUACGUAGGUGGCGAGCGUUGUCCGGAAUUACUGGGCGUAAAGGGCGCGCAGGCGGUACGUUAAGUCCAAGGUGAAAUCCCACGGCUCAACUGUGGGGGGACCCUGGAUACUGGCGUGCUGGAGUGCGGGAGAGGGAAGCGGAAUUCCACGUGUAACGGUGAAAUGUACAGAUAUGUGGAGGAACACCGGUGGCGAAGGCGGCUUCCUGGACCGUAACUGACGCUGAGGCGCGAAAGCUGGGGGAGCGAACAG
This 404-nucleotide ribosomal RNA is filed under the name uncultured bacterium. RNAcentral's name for it is "bacterial SSU rRNA". It matches the Rfam family "Bacterial small subunit ribosomal RNA", at positions 355 to 775 of the family's 1533-position model. The record is from RNAcentral.